Molecule: unclassified non-coding RNA, 415 nt
Filed under: soil metagenome
Description: partial contains 5.8S ribosomal RNA, internal transcribed spacer 2, and large subunit ribosomal RNA
Rfam family: 5.8S ribosomal RNA (bases 1-120)
Source: RNAcentral
GAUGAAGAACGCAGCGAAAUGCGAUAAGUAAUGUGAAUUGCAGAAUUCAGUGAAUCAUCGAAUGUUUGAACGCACCUUGCACUCCUUGGUAUUCCGAGGAGUACGCCUGUUCGAGUGUUAUGAAGCUCUCAAAACGCAAUUGGCUUAAAACCUGAUUGUUGUUUUGGAUUUGAACUUUGCCGUGUUAUAACGGCUGGUUUUAAAAGUAUUAGCUGGUACUAGAACGAAUUGGUUCUACUCAACGUGAUAAUUAUCUGAUCGUUGAGGACAUUCCUUUCACGAGGAAUGGCCAUAGUAAAUUCAAUGUACUGCUUCUAAUCUGGCUUUAAUUCUUUAUUGGAUUAACCACUUUUCAAAUCUGACCUCGAAUCAGGUGGGACUACCCGCUGAACUUAAGCAUAUCAUAAGCGGAGGA